Molecule: ribosomal RNA, 700 nt
Filed under: uncultured bacterium
Lineage: Bacteria
Description: bacterial SSU rRNA
Rfam family: Bacterial small subunit ribosomal RNA
Source: RNAcentral
ACGGUAACGGUUAAGCUGACGAGUGGCGAACGGGUGAGUAAUCUAUCGGAACGUGCCCAGUCGUGGGGGAUAACUGCUCGAAAGAGCAGCUAAUACCGCAUACGACCUGAGGGUGAAAGCGGGGGAUCGCAAGACCUCGCGCGAUUGGAGCGGCCGAUAUCAGAUUAGGUAGUUGGUGGGGUAAAGGCCCACCAAGCCAACGAUCUGUAGCUGGUCUGAGAGGACGACCAGCCACACUGGGACUGAGACACGGCCCAGACUCCUACGGGAGGCAGCAGUGGGGAAUUUUGGACAAUGGGCGCAAGCCUGAUCCAGCCAUGCCGCGUGCGGGAAGAAGGCCUUCGGGUUGUAAACCGCUUUUGUCAGGGAAGAAAAGGUUCUGGUUAAUACCUGGGACUCAUGACGGUACCUGAAGAAUAAGCACCGGCUAACUACGUGCCAGCAGCCGCGGUAAUACGUAGGGUGCAAGCGUUAAUCGGAAUUACUGGGCGUAAAGCGUGCGCAGGCGGUUAUGCAAGACAGAGGUGAAAUCCCCGGGCUCAACCUGGGAACUGCCUUUGUGACUGCAUGGCUAGAGUACGGUAGAGGGGGAUGGAAUUCCGCGUGUAGCAGUGAAAUGCGUAGAUAUGCGGAGGAACACCGAUGGCGAAGGCAAUCCCCUGGACCUGUACUGACGCUCAUGCACGAAAGCGUGGGGAGC